CGUAUCAGCAACCAGGUGAUGAAAGGUACAAUUAACAAUUUUAUCCUUCGGCAACUUGCCACUUUCCCAUAACCUAGAUAAUGAAAGAAUCACCUUCAUAUCACCAACUAGGUGAUGAAGAGUACAACCAGUACUCAACUCUUCUCACCAACCCUGGUGAUGAAGGAACUUACCUUCUUUUCCCCAACUAGGCGAGGAAUGGUACAACUCGUAGUUAUGGACUUUUAGCAUUCAUAAAAAACCGAAAACCUUCAAGCCUUACAACUUAGAAAAGGCAUAGACAAGCUCAACUGAACCAAACUAGGGGAGCACUUAAAGCCAACAAAGGUUAUAGUCAACAAAAAAGUGUUAUUACAAAUCAACAAUGGUUUUAACAAUGUGCAAUGAAGGGAAAAUUAUGAGUUUUCACAUAUAGGGAUUUCAAAAUGACUAUCAUGCAUAUACAAAUCAAAUUUAAUAUACGAAAGCAGCGGAAGCAUUUAUAACAAAUUAUCA
This 495-nucleotide long non-coding RNA is filed under the name Malus domestica (apple). RNAcentral describes it as "long non-coding RNA (MDOM_LNC008547)". Lineage: Eukaryota; Viridiplantae; Streptophyta; Magnoliopsida; Rosales; Rosaceae. The record is from RNAcentral.